AUGCCCCUGCAAACAGCUCAGCGUCCCCUCUGCUCCCAUCCUGCCAGGCCAGCACCACUGUCCCAGCGUGGGCACCCUGUCCAAGUAAGCGCAGCUCCUUCAGCACCGCCGGGUGCCCACGUCCCCGAGCCCCCCAGAACCGCCUGCCCGCGCGGCUCAGGGCUGCAGCAGGUACUUCUCCUCGUUCCUCGCCUCAUCCGCGUCAGAGGGGGGGCCCUUCUUGGGGCACGACGGGGUCCUGCAGGCCUUGCAGAGGAUGAGGAAGAGGAUGAGGAUGAGCAACGCGAUGAUGCAGUUGAAAGAAAUCGCAACGACUGCUCCGGUGGAGAGAGCCGCCCCCAUCGCCGCUGCCCCGUGGGGAGAAACGGGACCCCCGGCUCGGCCCCGCGCUUGGGACGCCGGCGCAGCCUCCGCCCGGGGGCAUUGGCAGGGGGCAGGGGGGACGGCUGCGGUGCUGGCAGCGGGACAGCCCGGGGGUCAGGCAGGCAGCAGGACCCCCGACACGGCUGGGCCUCCGGGAGCCGUGACCUCGGCUUCAGCGGGGGAGGCUCGGAGCUUUCCCAAGGCUUCCUCUCCUCCAGCAGCGCGGCGGGGCCGUGUCUUCUCCCUCGGGGACCUGGAAGGGAGAAAGUCACCGUCACCGCCAGCACCAGGGGAUGGGGUGCCCGAGCCCCCCGGGGGUGGCUGCCUCCUGCAAAGCCCCGGCCCCGAAGAGGCUCAGGGGGACGGAGGCUGCCAUUUGGGGGGCUCCUCGCAGCCUCCACAGGCGCUCCCCAGCUGCCUCCCUCCAUCCCGGGCCAGGGUCGGGGUGACGGAGCCGGAGGUGUCCCGGGGGCCUUCCCGGCCCCAAAUCCCGUCCCCAGCCUCCCUCCCGGGCAGCCUCGGCCCUGCCGCCGGCCCCCGGCCGCCCUCCGUGCCCUCCCAAAACGGGGCGAGGCCCCCCCCAUCCCUGAACACCGCGGAGAAGGGGGGUGCCCGCAGCCCCCGCUGCAGAUCCCACAGCCGAGGAGCCCCGGGGGCACCGGGCGGCAGCAACAGGUCCCUCCGGAGCCUCCCUCCCGUCCCGGGGCCCCGGCGUUACCUGCCUCCGCUCCGCCCCGCGAACCGCCGGGACCCCGCGGGCGGCGCUGCCGGGACCGGGGCCCGGGGGUCCCGGGGGUGCCCGGGUCCGGGGGUCCCGGGGGUGCCGGGUCCGGGGGUGCCGCUGCCGGCGCGGGGCCGCCCGGAGGUGCCGCAGCCCCGCGCGCUGCCGCUGCCUCCCGCCGCCACCGGGGGCGGCUCCCGCCGGCGCCCUGCCCUCGGCCACGCCCCCUCGGGGCCGGCCGCGCCCCCUCCCCGCCGCUGUUGCGGGCUUGCACGCGCACGUGCAUGCAGACAGCCACGUGCACGCACCUUUGCACAGCCACACGCACACGCAUGCACCCCCCCCCCCGACGUGUGCAAGCACGUUUGCAUGCCCGGACAUACAUGCAUAUGUUUGCACACGCAUGCACACGUUUGCACACGCACACCCAGGCCUGUGCACACACGUUUGCACGCAGGUGGGCAUGUGCACCCGUGCAUGCACACACGUGCAUGCACACACGCAUGCACGAACACACACACAUGUACACAUAUGCAUGCGUACACACGUUCUUGCACGCAUACACGCAUUCACACACGUAUGCUUGA
Long non-coding RNA from Anser brachyrhynchus (Pink-footed goose), 1671 nucleotides. The record is from Ensembl. NCBI's taxonomy places the organism in Eukaryota, Metazoa, Chordata, Aves, Anseriformes, Anatidae.